UACGUAGGGUGCAAGCGUUGUCCGGAUUUAUUGGGCGUAAAGAGCUCGUAGGCGGCUCAGUAAGUCAGGUGUGAAAACUCCAGGCUCAACCUGGAGACGCCACCUGAUACUGCUGUGGCUAGAGUCCGGUAGGGGAGCAUGGAAUUCCUGGUGUAGCGGUGAAAUGCGCAGAUAUCAGGAGGAACACCAGUGGCGAAGGCGGUGCUCUGGGCCGGAACUGACGCUGAGGAGCGAAAGCGUGGGUAGCAAACAGG
Molecule: ribosomal RNA, 254 nt
Filed under: uncultured bacterium
Lineage: Bacteria
Description: partial 16S ribosomal RNA
Rfam family: Bacterial small subunit ribosomal RNA
Source: RNAcentral